Molecule: RNA transcript, 2595 nt
Organism: Zeugodacus cucurbitae (melon fly)
Lineage: Eukaryota; Metazoa; Arthropoda; Insecta; Diptera; Tephritidae
Gene: Arpc2
Gene name: actin-related protein 2/3 complex subunit 2
Exons: 7
Source: RefSeq, a predicted model, not a curated record
GAUACACUGCAUCAAAACUAAUUGCGAACAAAAUUGUGAAUAGUUUAGUAUAAGAAGAAGCAAAUGAAAUGCAAUUUAUUAGUUUUACGAUGGUCACACAAUUAGACGAUGUUCGUUUAAUUAAACUGGUACAAUCACAUCCUAUUUUGUAUGACAGAAACCUCGCAAGGGGACCCAAAACUUCUUCCUUGAAAGAUGAUAUAUGGAAGAAGCUGUCCCUACAAUUAAAUUGCUCGGAACGCGCUUGUAUUACAAGGUGGAAAAGUAUUCGCGACCGUUUUGGAAAAGAAUUGCGCCGCGCACAAGAUAAUCCCGAGGAAGCGGUUAACUGGGACAUGUUUGAACAUUUACUCUUUUUGCGAGAGCAUUACAAACAAGGGCAAGCAAAUGGUGAGGCAAUAUUUAACAUAAAAUAUGAACCCAAAAAAAGAAAACGAGGGCGAAAGCCACGAAAAGUGUGCGAGGUAGAAUCAUUUAAGGAAGAUCGAGAUGAUGACGAUAUGGAUCCUGAAGUAUUAAUUGAAAAUCAACAAUUAAUCGAAUUAGUAAAAGAACAUCCUGUGCUAUAUGAUAAGCACAAAAUAAGGGACUCGAAAAAUUUAACACUGAAAAAUGAUGCUUGGCAUGAAAUUUCAGAGACUAUGGGAAUCUCGGAAGAGACAUGUUACAAACGUUGGAAAAAAUUACGGGACCGGUUUGCGCGAGAAUAUCGUCAUCAAAAAAUUUAUCCCGAGCGAUCGGUAACAUGGGUUUAUUUUCAGGAUUUGUCCUUCCUCGGAGAGCAUUAUAGAAAAGGGAUUCCUCUACCAGUAGAUGCUAUUAGACAAAGAAAGAAAGCGAAAAUGGCAACAACAACAAUGACCAAUGAUGAGACCUGGGUUGAAGAUUGCCCAUUUCUUUAUGUUGAAGAUGCACAUGAGCUGCAAGAUGAAGAUAUGGAUGAUAUUGACCCGGAACUUAGUGAAGUUAAUUCAAACUCAUUAGAUGAACUUAUUAUAAUGCCGAAAAGUAACGAGUCAUAUAACGAUGUUGUCAUUGAUGAGUCGAUAACACCACCAGCAAAUACCUCACAAUCAAGUUAUCAACUAUCUGAAGGAACAAAUUUAGAAGAACCGGAACAAAAACUCUCGACUGUAAUUUCUGGAAUACAACAAGUUUUAGAACAAUCUCAGGACUGUUUAAAAUCAUUACAAAAACAAAGAGAACAGCAAAUGCAUUCUAAUGUGGGUUUAUCGAUUAAUGCCGACGUCAGUAUGAUCCAAAAAGUACAUAUACUACUGGAUGGUUUGAAUUUGCCGAAUAGAACGCUGGCUGAACGUCGAAUAGUGCAAUUUCUAUGUGAAUGUCAAAUCAAGACUUUAAACAAUGUGGAUAUAGAUGAUGUGGAUUGUACACAAGAUUAUUGAUUUUAUAAAAACCUAAAAAAUAUUAAAUUAAAUGUUAGCUUUUGUGAUUAUAAAUUUACAAAAUAUAAAAUUAUGGAACAUUUGAAUUAAACAAACAUUUUAUAGUAAUGCAGUUACAAAUCCAUUUAUCAGAUAUUAUUGGACAGAUUUUUUAGAAUCAAUUAGAUAUUGGCAAGAAUGAUAACACAAGUCUAUUAAAUACAAUUUUUUUACGAUGGCGGUUUAAAAUUAUUUAACAAUAGAGUUUUGACGAACGAAAUCAUUUCAGUUACGCAGAUUCAAGAUAUUUGCAAGCAAGAGCAGAGUAAAAUAAAAUAUAUUUUUUAAAUGCCCUUUGGUAUUUGUUGUCGAUAAACAUUAAUAAAAUUUAUUUUUUUACAAUCGACUAUAAAAAAUAUCUAUUUUGUUGAACAUACUCUAAGUCAAGGCUGUCAUUGUCACCAUUAAAAAUGUGACACACACACAUCAACAAUUGUUACCUGAUUAAACACACCAUACGGUUUCUCAUUGCGGGAGCGACGAUAUUUGUGAAAAAUUAUUGAGGAUUCGCAAGUGUUUAGUAAAAUAUUAGAAAAUAAUCUAUGGAAGUAGUAUAAGCAUUUCUAAUGUAUAUCGGGCGUGCUCUCUAAUUGGAUUGUAGAAUAACCAUAUACUGAAAAGUGACCAAAAGGUAUUAAUGUCGGAGUAGGAGCCAAAAUCAAGUUGUUGGUGCAGUCGAAGUUUGCACCGAUCGUGACAACAGUCAUCAAAGUAAACGUAAUACUGUGGAGAGUUGGCGCUACUUACGCAUACGUACACAUACAUUUUUUGUGUGAUAAAAAAGCAAUUCGCCAGUGACAACCAAGUGUGAAUUGACAUCGGUUGUUGGACGGCCAACAAUCGAGACAGUUUGGAAAAAAAUCCGCAGAGGGACACAAGUUCUCAUUGGGAGAAUUUAUGUCGUGAUCGACCUGCUGUCGGUGUAAAAAUAGAACCUGCGCACCAAAAAUUAAGGACCCUCUAAUAUAUUUAAUUGGUCUACAUACUGCCCGUCAAAUAUUUUUCAACAUUAAUAGUUCUUUUAUCAAUCACCGAACGGAGAAGGAAAGUGGAGUUUUAGUUGAAGUUGUGCAUUCUGCAUUCACGCUUAUUGGUCACAAAUUUGUUUUGAGGUUAUAAAAUGAUUUUACUGGAAAUCAAUAACCGCAUC